Molecule: transfer RNA, 86 nt
Filed under: Xenopus tropicalis (tropical clawed frog)
Lineage: Eukaryota; Metazoa; Chordata; Amphibia; Anura; Pipidae
Description: Xenopus (Silurana) tropicalis (western clawed frog) tRNA
Rfam family: tRNA
About the family: Transfer RNA (tRNA) molecules are approximately 80 nucleotides in length. Their secondary structure includes four short double-helical elements and three loops (D, anti-codon, and T loops).
Source: Rfam by way of RNAcentral
GGCUCUGUGGCGCAAUGGAUAGCGCAUUGGACUUCUAGAUAAAUAAAGGUAUUCAAAGUUUGUGGGUUCGAGUCCCACCAGAGUCG